Non-coding RNA from Camelina sativa (false flax), 126 nucleotides. NCBI's taxonomy places the organism in Eukaryota, Viridiplantae, Streptophyta, Magnoliopsida, Brassicales, Brassicaceae. The record is from RefSeq and is a predicted model, not a curated record.
GCCGCAUCAGUGAUGAAGUGCGGGAAGGGCAAAGUUUGGCUCGAUCCCAAUGAAAGCUCCGACAUCUCCAUGGCCAAUUCCCGCCAAAACAUCAGGAAGCUUGUGAAGGAUGGUUUCAUCAUCAGG